GUUUGAGGGAAUCUUCGAGUCAAACGGGAACCAGGUGACGAGGGUAGUGAAAAAAGGAUAAUCUAUGCUCAAUAAAAAAAGGCAUGGGGAGGGAAGUGGGAGUCAUCCCAUGUUCACACCCUCAAUCACAGCGGUCGCUGUUUUAAUUGAAAACAUCUUUUUUAAAUUUCCUGCAAUUCCGUUAUAUUGGUCUGACUAACAGUUACGUUGAAAAGUAGCACUUUAUAACCCUUAACUAAACAUCAGUCAAACAUCAGACAAACAAAAAAUAAUGGCUCAAAUUUCCACUUUAUCUUUUUUAUACUACUCUGUUUUAGACGGAACGAAUUAUAGUAUAUACCGUUGUCUGACCAUCUGUCUGUCGUUUUAGAUCUCUGAUAUCGUUAUUCAAGCUAGUGAACAAUAAGCCAGCGAACAAUACGGAAUAUCAAGCCAGCGAACAAUGAGGAAUAUCAAGCCAGCGAACAAUGAGGAAUAUCAAGCCAGCGAACAAUAAGGAAUAUCAAGCCAGCGAACAAUAAGGAAUAUCAAGCCAGCGA
This 539-nucleotide long non-coding RNA is filed under the name Mytilus galloprovincialis (Mediterranean mussel). Lineage: Eukaryota; Metazoa; Mollusca; Bivalvia; Mytilida; Mytilidae. The record is from RNAcentral.